AUGGAACAAUGGUUCCAAUUGGAGGAAAUUGCCAAGAGCAUUACCUUUACUGCCGAGCCGGAUGCCCUGAUUUGGCAGCUGGACAAUAAGGGGAAGUAUUCCUCCAGCUCCAUCUAUCAUGUUAUCAACUUUAGAGGGGUUCAACCCGUGUUUAUCCCUGUUGUCUGGAAAUUGAGAGUUCCCCCUAAAAUUCAUGUAUUUCUCUGGCUUCUCUCUAAAAACAAAUUGACGACAAGGGAUAACCUUAGGAAGAGACACAUCAUCAAACCCCUUGAUUGUGUUUACUGCUUGGAAUAAGAGUCUUGUUCUCACCUAUUUUUUGAAUGUAUAGUUGCUAAACAUCUCUUGGCCCACAUUGAGGAAUAUUUCUCUAGUCAGAUUGGCUCAUCCUUCGAAUCUGUCGCCAGAUUCUGGAUUGCUACCAAAAAGUGCUCAGUUUUAAACACUCUUAGCUCAGCUGUCCUUUGGUGCCUCUGGAAAUAUAGAAAUGCUAUGAUUUUCAGUAACACCUCCUGGAUUUCCAUUCUGCAGGUCUUGAGGUUGAUCAGGAACAUGGUGAGGAACUGUCACAUCCCUAGCUUCUGGUACUGCCUGGUGUUUUGCAUCUUGUUGCAUCAUGUUUAA
RNAcentral lists this ribosomal RNA (624 nucleotides) under Triticum aestivum (bread wheat). RNAcentral's name for it is "partial small subunit ribosomal RNA". Lineage: Eukaryota; Viridiplantae; Streptophyta; Magnoliopsida; Poales; Poaceae. The record is from RNAcentral.